RNAcentral lists this ribosomal RNA (511 nucleotides) under uncultured bacterium. Its description in RNAcentral is "bacterial SSU rRNA". It matches the Rfam family "Bacterial small subunit ribosomal RNA", at positions 8 to 518 of the family's 1533-position model. The record is from RNAcentral.
AGAGUUUGAUUAUGGCUCAGGACGAACGCUGGCGGCAUGCCUAACACAUGCAAGUCGAACGGACAUAACCAAGUUAUAGCGAUAUAAUGCGGGGUAUGUUAGUGGCGAACGGGUGAGUAACACGUGAGCAACCUGCCCUGUACAACGGGAUAACAGUUGGAAACGACUGCUAAUACGGUAUAAGACCACACUGCGGCAUCGCAGAGGGGUAAAAGUGAAUUAGCGGUACAGGAUGGGCUCGCGUCCAAUUAGCUAGUUGGUGAGGUAACGGCUCACAAAGGCGACGAUUGGUAGCCGACCUGAGAGGGUGAUCGGCCACACUGGAACUGAGACACGGUCCAGACUCCUACGGGAGGCAGCAGUGGGGAAUAUUGGGCAAUGGAAGGAAACUCUUACCCAGCAAUGCCGCGUGAAGGAAGAAGGUCUUCGGAUUGUAAACUUCUUUUAUUGGGGACGAAUAAAUGACGGUACCCGAUGAAUAAGCCCCGGCUAACUAUGUGCCAGCAGCCGC